AAUGAACGCUGGCGGCGUGCCUAAUACAUGCAAGUCGAGCGGCAGCACGGUCUUCGGACUGGUGGCGAGCGGCGGACGGCUGAGUAACGCGUAGGAACAUGCCCUAAAGUGAGGAAUAACUGCCCGAAAGGGUGGCUAAUGCCGCAUGUGCUCUUCGGGGUAAAGCUUUAUGCGCUUUAGGAGUGGCCUGCGUCCGAUUAGCUAGUUGGUGAGGUAAAUGCUCACCAAGGCGACGAUCGGUAGCUGGUCUGAGAGGAUGAUCAGCCAGACUGGAACUGAGAACGGUCCAGACUCCUACGGGAGGCAGCAGUAGGGAAUUUUCCACAAUGGGCGAGAGCCUGAUGGAGCAACGCCGCGUGCAGGAUGAAUGCCUUCGGGUUGUAAACUGCUUUUAUGUGCGAAGAAUUUGACUGUAACACAUGAAUAAGGAUCGGCUAACUACGUGCCAGCCGCCGCGGUAA
Molecule: ribosomal RNA, 461 nt
Filed under: uncultured bacterium
Lineage: Bacteria
Description: partial 16S ribosomal RNA
Rfam family: Bacterial small subunit ribosomal RNA
Source: RNAcentral